Molecule: ribosomal RNA, 442 nt
Filed under: uncultured bacterium
Lineage: Bacteria
Description: partial 16S ribosomal RNA
Rfam family: Bacterial small subunit ribosomal RNA
Source: RNAcentral
CCUACGGGAGGCAGCAGUGGGGGAUAUUGCACAAUGGGGGAAACCCUGAUGCAGCGACGCCGCGUGGGCGAAGAAGUAUUUCGGUAUGUAAAGCCCUAUCAGCAGGGAAGAAGAAAUGACGGUACCUGAGUAAGAAGCACCGGCUAAAUACGUGCCAGCAGCCGCGGUAAUACGUAUGGUGCAAGCGUUAUCCGGAUUUACUGGGGGUAAAGGGAGCGCAGGCGGCACGGCAAGCCUGAUGUGAAAGCCCGCGGCCCAACCGCGGGACUGCAUUGGGAACUACCGGGCUGGAGUGCCGGAGAGGUAGGCGGAAUUCCUAGUGUAGCGGGGAAAUGCGUAGAUAUUAGGAGGAACACCAGUGGCGAAGGCGGCCUACUGGACGGUGACUGACGCUGAGGCUCGAAAGCGUGGGGAGCAAACAGGAUUAGAUACCCCAGUAGUC